GACGAACGCUGGCGGCGUGCUUAACACAUGCAAGUCGAACGGAAAGGCCCUGCGUUUGUGGGGUGCUCGAGUGGCGAACGGGUGAGUAACACGUGAGUAACAUGCCCUUGACUUUGGGAUAACUCCAGGAAACUGGGGCUAAUACAGGAUAGGAGCUCCUGCUGCAUGGUGGGGGUUGGAAAGUUUCGGCGGUUGGGGAUGGACUCGCGGCUUAUCAGCUUGUUGGUGGGGUAGUGGCUUACCAAGGCUUUGACGGGUAGCCGGCCUGAGAGGGUGACCGGCCACAUUGGGACUGAGAUACGGCCCAGACUCCUACGGGAGGCAGUAGUGGGGAAUAUUGCACAAUGGGCGGAAGCCUGAUGCAGCAACGCCGCGUGCGGAAUGACGUCCUUCUGGUUGUAAACCGCUUUCGCCUUUAACGAAGCGUGAGUGACGGUAAUGGGUAAAGAAGCACCGGCUAACUACGUG
This 468-nucleotide ribosomal RNA is filed under the name uncultured bacterium. RNAcentral describes it as "partial 16S ribosomal RNA". It matches the Rfam family "Bacterial small subunit ribosomal RNA", at positions 28 to 507 of the family's 1533-position model. The record is from RNAcentral.